UACGGAGGAUGCGAGCGUUAUCCGGAUUUAUUGGGUUUAAAGGGUGCGCAGGCGGUCUGUUAAGUCAGCGGUCAAAGCCCGGGGCUCAACCCCGGCCCGCCGUUGAAACUGGCAGUCUCGAGUUGGAGAGAAGUAUGCGGAAUGCGCGGUGUAGCGGUGAAAUGCAUAGAUAUCGCGCAGAACUCCGAUUGCGAAGGCAGCAUGCCGGCUCCACACUGACGCUGAGGCACGAAAGCGUGGGUAUCGAGCAGG
This 252-nucleotide ribosomal RNA is filed under the name uncultured bacterium. Its description in RNAcentral is "partial 16S ribosomal RNA". It matches the Rfam family "Bacterial small subunit ribosomal RNA", at positions 524 to 776 of the family's 1533-position model. The record is from RNAcentral.